GCGAAGGAGAAGGUGGCGUCGGGCUUCCCCUUGUAGGGACCCUUGGUGACUUGGCCCUCCUUGAGGUCAACGACGUAGAUCUCCUCGUCAACGCCAAGCUUCUUGGGUGCGAUAUGGAGCUCGUAGAUGAGACCGAUCUUUUUUACGAGUUCCUUGCCGGCGUCGGUGGCGAGGUGGAGUUUCAUCUGAUCUAAGAGGGCGGCGGAUUUAAGC
Molecule: unclassified non-coding RNA, 213 nt
Filed under: Hevea brasiliensis (rubber tree)
Lineage: Eukaryota; Viridiplantae; Streptophyta; Magnoliopsida; Malpighiales; Euphorbiaceae
Source: RNAcentral